RNAcentral lists this long non-coding RNA (210 nucleotides) under Olea europaea (common olive). RNAcentral describes it as "long non-coding RNA (OEUR_LNC014033)". Lineage: Eukaryota; Viridiplantae; Streptophyta; Magnoliopsida; Lamiales; Oleaceae. The record is from RNAcentral.
CGCUAGGUUCUGCUACUGAUUUUGAAUUUGAGAAGGGUUUACCGAGAAAUUCAAUAGCGAAAAUUAUCGACGAAAUGGAGUAGCGAACUGUUGACUUAUAGUCUAGCCCUUUCUACUUUCUAGUAGCUUCUAUUCGGAUAAUCCUUUUUAAUUCCACCAUAUUAUGUUCCUUUCUUUUAAAAUUUGCAUUUAAGCCUAUCGGUUAAUAAC